AAGUUAAACAAGGUCUUGUCUUAGAUC
This 27-nucleotide small RNA is filed under the name Bombyx mori (domestic silkworm). RNAcentral's name for it is "ovarian small RNA-10712". The record is from RNAcentral. Lineage: Eukaryota; Metazoa; Arthropoda; Insecta; Lepidoptera; Bombycidae.